UACGAAGGGGGCUAGCGUUGCUCGGAAUCACUGGGCUUAAAGCGUGUGUAGGCGGAUCGUUAAGUGUCUUGUGAAAUCCCACGGCUCACCCGUGGAACUGCUGGGCAUACUGGCGAUCUUGGGCCAACUAGGGGCAGUCGGAACAAGCGGUGGAGCGGUGAAAUGCGUAGAUAUCGGGAAGAACACCAGUGGCGAAGGCGGCUGCCUGGCCUGUAACUGACGCUGAGACGCGAAAGCGUGGGGAGCGAACCGG
This 253-nucleotide ribosomal RNA is filed under the name uncultured bacterium. RNAcentral's name for it is "partial 16S ribosomal RNA". It matches the Rfam family "Bacterial small subunit ribosomal RNA", at positions 524 to 776 of the family's 1533-position model. The record is from RNAcentral.